AUGGUCAUGGACAACUCACUCACCGAGGGGCCCAGCAUGAACUCAUCCAGGCUCACGGGCCGCGCCCAGGGCACCUACAUCGCCGCCGGCAAGGACCAGCUGGCGCUGCUCAUGCUCAUGAACUUCGUCUUCACCGCCGGCAAGUACAACGGCAGCAGCGUCGCCAUUAUGGGUCGCAACGCUGUGUUCACCGAGGUCCGAGAGAUGGCUGUCGUUGGCGGUACCGGCGUUUUUAGGUGGGCUCGGGGGUACGCGCAGGCCAGGACGCACACCUUGGACCUCAAGACCGGCGACGCCACCGUUGAGUACAACGUAUUCAUCAUGCACUAG
RNAcentral lists this ribosomal RNA (330 nucleotides) under Triticum aestivum (bread wheat). RNAcentral describes it as "partial small subunit ribosomal RNA". Lineage: Eukaryota; Viridiplantae; Streptophyta; Magnoliopsida; Poales; Poaceae. The record is from RNAcentral.